UUCCUGGGUUCCGUGGUUCUAGCACGGUCGCUCAACUGUUGCAUUUUGCUUUUAUUUAAUUUUAUUACAUGAAGAGCCUAUCUACCAAUUUUAUUCUUAACCGCUUUUAUUUAAUAUAAUAAUUAUUUAAGAGAAAGUGAAUGUCGUUUAAAGUGUGUUUUCGGAUUGCGCCGCAUCAAAAGAACCUGCAAUCCUAAGCACACUCUAUUCAAUAAUUUAGGAUAUGGAUUUGGGCAGCAUAAAAUGCCCACCCGUAUUUAGGAAUGUAAUUUUACUAAAGUCGCGCUUAAUAGAGUCUAACACAUUGUAAUUUUUUGG
This 318-nucleotide long non-coding RNA is filed under the name Nicotiana benthamiana. RNAcentral describes it as "long non-coding RNA (NBEN_LNC001844)". The record is from RNAcentral. Lineage: Eukaryota; Viridiplantae; Streptophyta; Magnoliopsida; Solanales; Solanaceae.